RNAcentral lists this ribosomal RNA (253 nucleotides) under uncultured bacterium. RNAcentral's name for it is "partial 16S ribosomal RNA". It matches the Rfam family "Bacterial small subunit ribosomal RNA", at positions 524 to 776 of the family's 1533-position model. The record is from RNAcentral.
UACGUAGGGGGCAAGCGUUGUCCGGAUUUAUUGGGCGUAAAGAGCGUGUAGGCGGCCAGACAGGUCCGUUGUGAAAACUCGAGGCUCAACCUCGAGAUGUCGAUGGAAACCGUCUGGCUAGAGUCCGGAAGAGGAGUGUGGAAUUCCUGGUGUAGCGGUGAAAUGCGCAGAUAUCAGGAAGAACACCUAUGGCGAAGGCAGCACUCUGGGCCUGUUCUGACGCUGAGGAGCGAAAGCUGGGGGAGCGAACAGG